RNAcentral lists this ribosomal RNA (497 nucleotides) under uncultured bacterium. RNAcentral describes it as "partial 16S ribosomal RNA". It matches the Rfam family "Bacterial small subunit ribosomal RNA", at positions 28 to 507 of the family's 1533-position model. The record is from RNAcentral.
GAUGAACGCUGGCGGCGUGCCUAAUACAUGCAAGUCGAACGCAUAGCGAAAGGUGCUUGCACCUUUCAAGUGAGUGGCGAACGGGUGAGUAACACGUGGACAACCUGCCUCAAGGCUGGGGAUAACAUUUGGAAACAGAUGCUAAUACCGAAUAAAACUUAGUGUCGCAUGACACAAAGUUAAAAGGCGCUUCGGCGUCACCUAGAGAUGGAUCCGCGGUGCAUUAGUUAGUUGGUGGGGUAAAGGCCUACCAAGACAAUGAUGCAUAGCCGAGUUGAGAGACUGAUCGGCCACAUUGGGACUGAGACACGGCCCAAACUCCUACGGGAGGCUGCAGUAGGGAAUCUUCCACAGUGGGCGAAAGCCUGAUGGAGCAACGCCGCGUGUGUGAUGAAGGCUUUCGGGUCGUAAAGCACUGUUGUAUGGGAAGAACAGCUAGAAUAGGAAAUGAUUUUAGUUUGACGGUACCAUACCAGAAAGGGACGGCUAAAUACGUG